Molecule: non-coding RNA, 1819 nt
Organism: Callorhinus ursinus (northern fur seal)
Lineage: Eukaryota; Metazoa; Chordata; Mammalia; Carnivora; Otariidae
Source: RefSeq, a predicted model, not a curated record
UCCCCGCUGCCGCCCCCGCUGGGCCCAGACCCCGAGCCCGCAGCCCGCAGCCAUGGCACCCAGUCAGCUCGCCUUAUUUAGUGUCUCUGACAAAACGGGCCUUGUGGAAUUUGCCAGAAACCUAACUUCUGUUGGUUUGAAUCUGAUCGCCUCUGGAGGGACCGCAAAAGCUCUCAGGGAUGCGGGUCUGGCAGUCAGAGAUGUCUCUGAGCUGACGGGAUUUCCUGAAAUGUUAGGGGGGCGUGUGAAAACCUUGCAUCCUGCAGUCCAUGCUGGAAUCUUGGCUCGUAAUGUCCCAGAAGAUAGUGCUGACAUGGCCAGACUUGAUUUCAGUCUUAUAAGAGUUGUCGUCUGUAAUCUGUAUCCCUUUGUGAAGACAGUGGCUCCUCCAGAUGUAACUGUUGAACAGGCUGUUGAGCAGAUUGAUAUUGGUGGAGUAACCCUACUGAGAGCAGCAGCCAAAAACCAUGCUCGAGUGACAGUCGUAUGUGACCCUGAGGACUAUGUGGCCGUGUCCACAGAGCUGCAAAGCUCUGACAGCAAAGACACCUCCUUGGAGACUAGACGCCAGUUAGCCUUGAAGGCUUUCACUCAUACGGCACAAUAUGAUGAAGCCAUUUCAGAUUACUUCAGGAGACAGUAUAGUAAAGGAAUAUCUCAGAUGCCUUUGAGGUAUGGAAUGAACCCUCAUCAAACUCCUGCCCAGUUAUACACACUGAAGCCCAAGCUUCCCAUCACAGUUCUAAAUGGAGCCCCUGGAUUUAUAAACUUGUGUGAUGCUUUGAAUGCCUGGCAGCUGGUGAAGGAACUCAAAGAAGCUUUAGGCAUUCCAGCCGCUGCCUCUUUCAAACAUGUCAGCCCAGCAGGUGCUGCUGUUGGAAUCCCACUCAGUGAAGAUGAAGCUAAAGUCUGCAUGGUCUACGAUCUGUAUAAAACUCUUACACCCAUAUCAGCUGCAUAUGCAAGGGCAAGAGGGGCUGAUAGGAUGUCUUCCUUUGGUGACUUUGUUGCAUUAUCUGAUGUUUGUGAUGUCCCUACUGCCAAAAUUAUCUCCAGAGAGGUAUCUGAUGGUAUUGUUGCCCCAGGAUAUGAAGAUGAAGCUUUGAAAAUACUUUCUAAAAAGAAAAAUGGGAGUUACUGUGUUCUUCAGAUGGAUCAGUCCUACAAACCAGAUGAAAAUGAAGUUCGAACUCUCUUUGGUCUUCUUUUAAGUCAGAAGAGAAAUAAUGGUGUCAUUGACAGGUCAUUAUUUAGCAACGUUGUGACCAAGAAUAAAGAUUUGCCAGAGUCUGCACACAGACACCUCAUCGUAGCCACCAUUGCUGUGAAGUACACGCAGUCUAACUACGUGUGCUAUGCCAAGAAUGGUCAGGUUAUUGGCAUUGGAGCAGGACAGCAGUCUCGAAUACACUGCACACGCCUUGCAGGGGAUAAAGCAAACUAUUGGUGGCUUAGACAUCAUCCACAGGUGCUUUCAAUGAAGUUUAAAACUGGAGUGAAGAGAGCAGAAAUCCCCAAUGCCAUUGAUCAGUAUGUUACUGGAACCAUUGGCGAGGAUGAAGAUUUGAUAAAGUGGAAGGCAUUGCUUGAGGAAGUGCCUGAAUUAUUAACUGAAGAAGAGAAGAAGAAAUGGGUUGACAAACUUAGUGAAGUUUCUGUCAGCUCUGAUGCCUUUUUUCCUUUCAGGGAUAAUGUAGACAGAGCUAAAAGGAGUGGUGUGGCCUACAUUGCUGCUCCUUCUGGUUCUGCUGCUGACAAAGUUGUGAUCGAGACAAGAAUAAUCCUUGCUCAUACGAGUCUUCGGCUUUUUCAUCACUGA